RNAcentral lists this ribosomal RNA (253 nucleotides) under uncultured bacterium. RNAcentral's name for it is "partial 16S ribosomal RNA". It matches the Rfam family "Bacterial small subunit ribosomal RNA", at positions 524 to 776 of the family's 1533-position model. The record is from RNAcentral.
UACGUAGGGCGCAAGCGUUGUCCGGAUUUAUUGGGCGUAAAGAGCUCGUAGGCGGUCCGUCACGUCGGCUGUGAAAACCCGAGGCUCAACCUCGGGCCUGCAGUCGAUACGGGCAGACUAGAGUGCGGUAGGGGAGACUGGAAUUCCUGGUGUAGCGGUGAAAUGCGCAGAUAUCAGGAGGAACACCCGUGGCGAAGGCGGCUCUCUGGGACGGUACUGACGCUGAGACGCGAAAGCGUGGGGAGCGAACAGG